CAGGGAGCCACGACACCAUGACCUACUGUCUGAAUAAGAAGUCCCCCGUGUCCCACAGCGAGUCCCGCUUGCUGCAGCUGCUGAGCAAGGUGGUGCCAUGUGUGACGCGUCCCGUGGUGCUGAGGUGGUCUGUCACCCAGGUAAGGGCCACUUGGGGCCGGGAGGUGGACGGCAGGGCCAUCGCUCCGCACAAAGCAGCAGGUGCCCCUGGUGGGCGCUCUUGCCUCAUGCCGGAGAUGGGGGGAGAGCAAGACUCUGAGGCCGCCCCAGGUGGUGGAGAGGCAGGGCUUGGUCACCGGGCAGCAUCACACCCGAGGCCGCUGGUCACUGGCUGACAGGGGCCACAGGCAGGGGGUGCCUGGGGCUGGCCAAGGCGACAGGCCGUUCCUCCUGCGGCCUAGAUAGCCAGCAGCACCCUUCCCGAGGCCCCUCUCCCCACUCCGGAGGGCGCCCUGCUCCUCCCUGGCGCUUGUUCAGCUGCGGGUCAACUCCCAGAGGCAGAAGGGACCCACGCUGCAGGUUCCUAAGAGAAGGGCUCAGGAGAAAUCUUCCCUGCUGAGGGAUGGGGGUCUCUUCCCUGCUCCAGGGCAGGUGUGUGUGGGGGGUCUCUCCUUGCUGCAGGAGGAGGGGGGUCUCUUCCCUGCCCCAGGGCCGAGGCUGUCUCCUCUGGCCCCAUCAGAGAGAAGGGCAUCUCUGCCUUCACCCCAGGUGCCCCCCUCCUGCACCCAGCCCUCUGCCCAGGUGGGGCAGGUGCCCUAGACCCACCAGGGCAUUUGAUUUGAUGCUGUGCAGAGGGGGCCUCCUGGAGGCUCAGCUGGCCUCAGCCACCCCUGGAGAGGCCGGGGAAAGGGGCGCCCCUCCAUUCUGGGGAGGAAAGAAGGCUGGCAGGAAGCGGGGCCCACCCCGGGGAGGAGAUGGACCACUCUUCCUCCUCUGCCUCCUGACCGAAGACUGUUGGUGACAAAAGGUUUGAGUGUCAGGGGUUUCCCAGGGACACAAGACUGCCCCCAACGUCCAGCUCUGUCCUGUUGAAUGUACUGUUUCUGCGUCUUAGUGACCACGGGGGCAGCAGGAGCUGUGGGGACCUGCCGGGUGGGGGAUGAGCACCUGUCAGGGGUCAGAGCCUGCAGGGGGCGUCUCCUCAUCCUGCCGGGGUCUGCAGACAGUGACCCUGCAGGGGGGUGUCCCCCAUCCUGCCAGGGGUCUGCAGACAGUGACCCUGCAGGGGGUGUCCCCCAUCCUGCCAGGGGUCUGCAGACAGUGACCCUGCAGGGGGUGUCCCCCAUCCUGCCAGGGGUCUGCAGACAGUGACCCUGCAGGGGAGUGUCCCCCAUCCUGCCAGGGGUCUGCAGACAGUGACCCUGCAGGGGGGUGUCCCCCAUCCUGCCAGGGGUCUGCAGACAGUGACCCUGCAGGGGGUGUCCCCCAUCCUGCCAGGGGUCUGCAGACAGUGACCCUGCAUGGGGGCGUCCCCCAUCCUGCCAGGGGUCUGCAGACAGUGACCCUGCAGGGGGGUGUCCCCCAUCCUGCCAGGGGUCUGCAGACAGUGGCCCUGCAGGGGGGCGUCCCCCCACACCUGUCCUCUGGUGGUCGUCCUCUCCUGCCCCGGGGCUGUCCACUCCCACUGCAUGGCCCUCCCACUCUGUCUGGUGUCCUGCUGAGCACCCUGCAUCCUGACUGGGGAUGCCAAGGGCUGGGUGGAUCCAGGGCUGUGGGGCAUGCGCCCCUAGUGGGACCCCUUCCCAGAGACUGUCGGGACAAGGGUGACCGUGACUGCCCGAUGUCCCAGAGACCAGCAUUAGGGCUGGGGUGGACUGAAGCCCAGGACGGCAGCGGGCCCUGGCUGUGCAGCUGAGGCUGCUCACCCCAGAGCAGGUCUCCCCAGGGUGGGGCCCGGGCAGCUCUGGCCCCGCGUGCGGCUGGCGGUUCAGCAGACACCCAGCGGGGGCCCCAGACAGUGCUGCACAGUGCGCAACCUCAGCGCCUCCUGAGCCCCAGGGAAGGGCGAUUCACCCAGGAGGGAGCGGCAGAGAUGACGGGGCGUCCCUCGGCAGGCGCUGGACGUCACGCAGCAGCUGGACGCCGGGGUGCGGUACCUGGACCUGCGCAUCGCGCACAUGCUGGAGGGCUCGGAGAAGAACCUGCACUUCGUACACAUGGUGUACACGACGGCGCUGGUGGAGGUACACAGGGGCCUGGUGGGGCAGGAGGUCGGCUGCCAGAGGCGGGGCAGCCACGUGCAGGUCCAGGCUGGUGGUCAGACCUUGGGGAUAGCCUGAACAGCGCUCCCUGGGCUUGGCGGUCUCCCCGCUCAGUGAGCAGAGGCUCCCCACAUUUGCAAAGUGGGCGGAACCAGCCCCCAGACCCGUUAGGUUCUCGGAAUCCAUUCUCUUCCCGAAUGCCCGAGGCUUUCUAAAGUCUGAAGGGCACAAGCUGCGUCCUCCCAAAGCCUGCGGGCUGUUCCCUGUGUCCCCACCCCGUGUCCCCACUGCACCCCGGGCUCCCAGUCUAGAAGCACCUACUCUGGGUCACUUUGUGCCGCUGGCCUGGCUCACGCCCCGGAGCCUUGGGACCCCACACCUUUGACUCACAGAGGCUUGUGUUUGGAGUGUGCUUGUACACAGACACCUGCACACGUGUACACACGCAUGUGACACAGACACACGCAGAAAUGCAGACACCCGCAUACAUGCGCACACACACAGACAUGCACGAACACACACAGAUACGCACAUGCACGUGCCGUGCAGAUGGACACGUAUGCGUUUGUGUACGCGUGAACACAGGUCAGCACACAGAUCCAGAUUCACAUGUGCUGACAUGCACACAUACAGAUGUGCAUGCACACAACACGCAGGUACAGGCAUGUGCACGGACAUGGAUACAGACACCUGUGAACAGAUAUGCUCCGUGUGCACUCACACCCGUGAACAGACGUGUGCGUGCCCACAGGACCGUGCAUGCCCUCCUGUGCCUGGGCCACCCUCCCUCCUGCUGGCUUCCCCCCGCCCCCCUCCCGGGAGGCUAUGUGUCCUCUGGGCCAGUCCGGCCUCCCGUCUGCAGCCGAGGAGGCCCACCUCCCAGGAGGCCCCUGGCCCUGCUGCCCUGUGGGCCCGACUGACCCUGGCCCCUCACCCAGGACACCCUCACGGAGAUCUCCGAGUGGCUGGAGCAGCACCCCCGGGAGGUGGUCAUCCUGGCCUGCAGGAACUUCGAGGGGAUGACGGAGGACCUGCAUGAGUACCUGGUGGCCUGCAUCAGGAACAUCUUUGGGGACAUGCUGUGCCCCCGAGGGGUGAGGAGGGUGCCUGUGCCCCAGGGCUCUCCUGGGCACUGUGUCCAGGGCUUGGUGUGUGUGUCUGGUCUGGCGGGGACAAGCCGGUCAUCAGGGCCUUCUGGCUUCCCUGUGAGGGGGGCCGGGCAGCCUGGCAGGGAGGGCCUCUGGGGCGAGCGUGCAGCAACGCGAU
This 3467-nucleotide long non-coding RNA is filed under the name Marmota monax (woodchuck). Lineage: Eukaryota; Metazoa; Chordata; Mammalia; Rodentia; Sciuridae. The record is from RNAcentral.